Molecule: ribosomal RNA, 429 nt
Filed under: Microbacteriaceae bacterium Ellin7116
Lineage: Bacteria; Bacillati; Actinomycetota; Actinomycetes; Micrococcales; Microbacteriaceae
Description: bacterial SSU rRNA
Rfam family: Bacterial small subunit ribosomal RNA
Source: RNAcentral
GAUGAACGCUGGCGGCGUGCUUAACACAUGCAAGUCGAACGGUGAACACGGAGCUUGCUCUGUGGGAUCAGUGGCGAACGGGUGAGUAACACGUGAGCAACCUGCCCCUGACUCUGGGAUAAGCGCUGGAAACGGCGUCUAAUACUGGAUAUGUGACGUGACCGCAUGGUCUGCGUCUGGAAAGAAUUUCGGUUGGGGAUGGGCUCGCGGCCUAUCAGCUUGUUGGUGAGGUAAUGGCUCACCAAGGCGUCGACGGGUAGCCGGCCUGAGAGGGUGACCGGCCACACUGGGACUGAGACACGGCCCAGACUCCUACGGGAGGCAGCAGUGGGGAAUAUUGCACAAUGGGCGCAAGCCUGAUGCAGCAACGCCGCGUGAGGGACGACGGCCUUCGGGUUGUAAACCUCUUUUAGCAGGGAAGAAGCGAAA